GAUUAUGGCUCAGGAUGAACGCUGGCGGCGUGCUUAACACAUGCAAGUCGAACGAAGCACUUUAAUUGAUUUCUUCGGAAUGAAGUUUUUGUGACUGAGUGGCGGACGGGUGAGUAACGCGUGGGUAACCUGCCUCAUACAGGGGGAUAACAGUUGGAAACGACUGCUAAUACCGCAUAAGCGCACGGGAUUGCAUGAUCCAGUGUGAAAAACUCCGGUGGUAUGAGAUGGACCCGCGU
This 239-nucleotide ribosomal RNA is filed under the name uncultured bacterium. Its description in RNAcentral is "partial 16S ribosomal RNA". It matches the Rfam family "Bacterial small subunit ribosomal RNA", at positions 15 to 236 of the family's 1533-position model. The record is from RNAcentral.